UCCGUAGGCGGGCGUCUAAGUCAGUGGUGAAAUCUUACAGCUCAACUGUAAAAUUGCCAUUGAUACUGGAUGUCUUGAAUUAGUGUGAAGUGGUUAGAAUGUGUAGUGUAGCGGUGAAAUGCAUAGAUAUUACACAGAAUACCAAUUGCGAAGGCAGAUCACUAACUCUAUAUUGACGCUGAGGGACGAAAGCGUGGGGAGCGAACAGGAUUAGAUACCCUGGUAGUCC
Molecule: ribosomal RNA, 229 nt
Filed under: uncultured bacterium
Lineage: Bacteria
Description: partial 16S ribosomal RNA
Rfam family: Bacterial small subunit ribosomal RNA
Source: RNAcentral